UGGGUCAGGAACUGCACUGACAACCUGCAUCCCAAAUCUAAUUAGCUGGACUAGGUCCAGCACAGAGCCAGCACUGCCCCCUGUCCUGCAUUUCAUGGGCAGGAAGGCAUCAUGGGGCUUGCUGUGGGACUAGGAAGACUACACCCACAGAAGAUGCCCAGGGACACCUCGGGUGCCACUCAGAUUCAUGUCCUGGGUCCCUGG
Molecule: long non-coding RNA, 204 nt
Filed under: Bos taurus (domestic cattle)
Lineage: Eukaryota; Metazoa; Chordata; Mammalia; Artiodactyla; Bovidae
Description: long non-coding RNA NONBTAT016255
Source: RNAcentral